This is a non-coding RNA of Pelobates cultripes (western spadefoot toad), 273 nucleotides long. The record is from the annotation of a GenBank genome assembly. Lineage: Eukaryota; Metazoa; Chordata; Amphibia; Anura; Pelobatidae.
GGCGCUUACAAGUACCCUUUUUAACAUUUAGCUCUACUUGGUGUAGUUGGAACUGGCUGCUACAAUGUAUCCAGAGGAACCAAGUGAAACAAAUUUGCCAGCCUUACAGUUUCAGAUGUAUAACUACGGAGUCAGUCUCAGACUCCAUAUAUGUGAUGAAAUGAAUGCUAAAGUUCAUGCAGCUAACUGAAACGUAUUAUACAAUAACACCAGCUCUAUACAUUUCAUUAGAACAUGUUUUUUGAGGACCAUUUUGUGGUUUACAAUAGGCUC